ACAUAUGCAUGAAAGUCUAAGAGAUUAGACCCCUCUUCGGAGCAUGUAUACAGGUGGUGCAUGGUUGUCGUCAGCUCGUGUCGUGAGAUGUUGGGUUAAGUCCCGCAACGAGCGCAACCCCUGUUCUUAGUUGCCAGCACGUUAAGGUGGGAACUCUAAGAAGACUGCCGGUGAUAAAUCGGAGGAAGGUGGGGACGACGUCAAAUCAUCAUGCCCUUUAUGUCCUGGGCUACACACGUACUACAAUGGCUAUAACAAAGGGAAGCGAGACCGCGAGGUGGAGCAAAACCCAAAAAAGUAGUCUCAGUUCGGAUUGGAGGCUGAAAUUCGCCUCCAUGAAGCCGGAAUUGCUAGUAAUGGCAAGUCAGCAUACUGCCGUGAAUACGUUCCCGGGCCUUGUACACACCGCCCGUCACACCAUGAGAGUUGGGAAUACCCGAAGCCUGUGAGCUAACUUUUUAAGAGGCAGCAGUCGAAGGUAGAAUCAAUGAUUGGGGUGAAGUCGUAACAAGGUAGCCGUAUCGGAAGGUGCGGUUGGAUCA
This 542-nucleotide ribosomal RNA is filed under the name uncultured bacterium. RNAcentral describes it as "bacterial SSU rRNA". It matches the Rfam family "Bacterial small subunit ribosomal RNA", at positions 984 to 1525 of the family's 1533-position model. The record is from RNAcentral.